AAUCAGAAAAGCUCCAUCUGAAUCUCAUAUCCUCUUCCUCGAUUUCCAGCUUAAUACAAUCUUCAAAUCUAGGCAUGUCUUUCUUGCUUUCCAAGUGGUUUUCCGAGCAUGUUUUCUUGUUUUGCCCUUCCUUUUUCCUUCAAUUUACAGUUCUGUUACCCUUUCCCAAUUUGUUGUUUGAUAGGCACUAAUCAGUAAGCAAUCUCCCUGUUCUUGUUGUAAUCCAUUUUUUUUUCUUCUUCUUUUCGGUUAGUGCAUAAAUUUGGAAAUUGAAUUUUUUUAGUUAUUUCUCCAUUUUUUUUUUUUGAGCUGUUGUUUUUAAUUGCAGACAACAGAAAAAAAUUGUAAUUGAUUGUCUUCAUGGGUGUUGAGUGAUUUACCCUCAUCAUAUUAUGUCAUUAAUUUUAUGAUUUUGCUAUCUUGGAGAGUAUUUUAGAAGUGCUAACAAGUGAUUUUGGUGUUGUUUUGUAGAUUGAUGGAAGUCGAGAAAACAAGAGCUAAAAGAGGUCAAAGGAAGGAAAUAAGCAAAAGCUCGCGAAAUUGGAUGAAAUGACCAAAACGUGAGAGACCCAAAUUUCGAUGAUUAAAAUGCAAUUAAUCAAAAGUCUUGUCGGAAUUUGAAAUGAAGAUCCGAGAGUUCUAGAAGCCAAUUGGAUGUGUCAAAGGGAUCAAAUUUAGUCAAGAUAUGAUCAUAAAUCAUUUUCCAAUCAAAAAGUUUUGCGCUGGAAUUUUGGUCUCACAUUUAGACUCAUUUUUUAUAUAGAAAACGAUCAAAU
This 776-nucleotide long non-coding RNA is filed under the name Olea europaea subsp. europaea. The record is from RNAcentral. Lineage: Eukaryota; Viridiplantae; Streptophyta; Magnoliopsida; Lamiales; Oleaceae.